RNAcentral lists this long non-coding RNA (6366 nucleotides) under Carica papaya (papaya). The record is from RNAcentral. Lineage: Eukaryota; Viridiplantae; Streptophyta; Magnoliopsida; Brassicales; Caricaceae.
GAAAAAGUGUAUGUAUUUGCAGUGCAGAAUGAAACAUGAGCAAUCAUACCAACACAAAUGCAACAGAUUCUAUCAGAACUCCGCAAGUUAAGGGUGCUUUGGCGAGAGUAGCACUAGGAUGGGUGACCUCCUUCGAAGUCCUUAUAUUUCACCUAUUUUCUUUGGAAGUCCUCGUGUUGCACCCAUUUUUUUGCAGAUGAUUCUUUCGACGAUUCGCGCGACUUGAAUUAUGGUCCUCAGGUUUAUUCACAAAUGUGAGUCACGGCACCGUAGCAUUUUACUUGAUAUUAGAACGAGCACGGGAGGUGCAGUGCGCACGCACAAGAAAACAAAUGACGGGAGGGGGAAGAAAGGAGAAGGAGUUUAUGUAUUUGCAGCGCAGAAUUAAAUGGGUGCGAUCAUACCAGCACUAAUGAACCGGAUCCCAUCAGAACUCCGCAGUUAAGUGUGCUUGGGCGAGAGUAGUACUCGGAUGGGUGACCUCCUAGGAAGUCCUCGUGUCGCACCAAUUUUUUUUCAGACGGGUCAUUCGACGUUACGCGCGUUUGGAACUAGGGUCCGCUAGUUUAUACACAAAUGUGAGUCAAGAAGCAGGGGCAUUUUAAUCGAUAUUAGAACGAGAAUGAGAGGUGAAGUGUGAACGCACAAGAAAACAAAUGACGGGAGGGGGAAGAAAGGAGAAGGAGUUUAUGUAUUUGCAGCGCGAAAUUAAACAGGUGCGAUCAUACCAGCACUAAUGCACCGGAUCCCAUCAGAACUCCACAGUUAAGAGUUCUUGGGCGAGAGUAGUACUCGGAUGGGUGUCCUCCUGGGAAGUCCUCGUGUCGCACUAAUUUUUUUUUCAGACGGUUCGUUCGACGUUACGCGCGACUGGAACUAGGGUCCACUUGUUUAUACGCAAAUGUGAGUCAAGAAGCAGGGGCAUUUUAAUCGAUAUUAGAACGAGAAGGAGAGAUGCAGAGUGCACGCACAAGGAAACAAAUAACGGGAGGGGGGAUGGAGGGAGAAAAAGUGUAUGUAUUUGCAGCGCAGAAUGAAACAUGAGCAAUCAUACCAGCACCAAUGCAACGGAUUCUAUCAGAACUCUGCAAGUUGAGGGUGCUUGGGCGAGAGUAGCAUUAGAAUGGGUGAGCUCAUGCGAAGUCCUUAUAUUUCACCCAUUUUCUUAGGAAGUCCUCGUGUUCCACCCAUUUUUUUGCAGAUGAUUCUUUCGACGAUACGCGCGACCUGAAUUAUGCUCCUCAGGUUUAUUCACAAAUGUGAGUCACGGCACCGUAGCAUUUUACUUGAUAUUAGAACGAGCACGGGAGGUGCAGUGCGCACGCACAAGGAAACAAAUGACAGGAGGGGGAAGAAAGGAGAAGGAGUUUAUGUAUUUGCAGCGCGGAAUUAAACGGGUGCGAUCAUACUAGCACUAAUGCACCGGAUCCCGUCAGAACUCUGCAGUUAAGUGUGCUUUGGCGAGAGUAGUACUCGGAUUGGUGACCUCCUGGGAAGUCCUCGUGUCGCACCAAUUUUUUUUCAGACGGGUCGUUCGACGUUACGCGCGACUGGAAUUAGGGUCCGCUGGUUUAUACGCAAAUGUGAGUCAAGAAGCAGGGGCAUUUUAAUCGAUAUUAGAACGAGAAGGAGAGGUGCAGUGUGAACGCACAAGGAAACAAUUGAUGGGAGGGGGAAGGAAGGAGAAGGAGUGUAUGUAUUUUCAGCAAGAAAUGAAACAGGUGCGAUCAUACCAGCACUAAUGCAACGGAUUCUAUCAGAGCUCCGUAGGUAAGGGUGCUUGGGGGAGAGUAGUACUAGCAUGGGUUACCUCCUGCGAAGUCCUUAUAUUUCACCCAUUUUCUUGUGAAGUCCUCGUGUUGCACCCAUUUUUUUGCAGAUGAUUCUUUCGACCUUACGCGCGACUUUAAUUAUGGUCCGCAGAUUUAUUCGCAAAUAUGAGUCACGGCGCCGUGGCAUUUUAUUUGAAAUUAGAACGAGAACGGGAGGUGCAGUGCGCACGCCCAACGAAACAAAUGACGGGAGGGGGAAGAAAGGGGAAUGAGUUUAUGUAUUUGCAGCCCAAAAAUAAACAGGUGCGAUCAUACCAGCACUAAUGCAGCAGAUCCCAUCAGAACUCCGCAGUUAUGUGUGCCUUGGCGAGAGUAGUACUCGGAUGGGUGACCUCCUGGGAAGUCCUAGUGUCGCACCAAUUUUUUUUCCAGACGGGUCGUUCGACGUUACGCGCGACUGGAACAAGGGUCCACUGGUUUAUACGCAAAUGUGAGUCAAGAAGCAGGGGCAUUUUAAUCGAUAUUAAAACGAGAAAGAGAGGUGCAGUGUGAACGCACAAGGAAACAAAUGACGCGAGGGGGGUGGGAGGUAGAAAAAGUAUAUGUAUUCGCAGCGCAGAAUGAAACAUGAGCAAUCAUACCAGCACCAAUGCAACGGAUUCCAUCAGAACUCCGUAGGUAAGGGUGCUUGGGUGAGAGUAGUACUAGCAUGGGUUACCUUCUCCGAAGUCCUUAUAUUUCACCCAUUUUCUUGUGAAGUCCACGUGUUACACCCAUUUUUUUGCAGAUGAUUCUUUCGACGUUACGCGCGACUUGAAUUAUGGUCCUCAGGUUUAUUCGCAAAUGUGAUUCUCGGCGCUGUAGCAUUUUACUUGAUAUUAGAACGAGAACGGGAGGUUCAGUGCGCACGCAGAAGGACACAAAUGACGGGAGGGGGAAGAAAGGGGAAUGAGUUUAUGUAUUUGCAGUGCGAAAUUAAACAGGUGCCAUCAUACCAGCACUAAUGCACCGGAUCCCAUCAGAACUCCGCAGUGAAGUGUGCUUGGGCGAGAUUAGUACUCGGAUGGGUAACCUCCUGGGAAGUCCUCGUGUCACAUUAAUUUGUUUUCAGACGGGUCGUUCAACGGUACGCGCGUCUGGAACUAGGGUCCGCUGGUUUAUACGCAAAUGUGAGUCAAGAAGCAGGGGCAUUUUAAUCGAUAUUAGAACGAGAAUGAGAGGUGAAGUGUGAAUGCACAAGGAAACAAAUGAUGGGAGGGGGGAAGGGAAGAAGGAGUGUAUGUAUUUUCAGCACGAAAUUAAACAGGUGCGGUCACACCAGCACAAAUGCACCGGAUCCCAUCAGAACUCCGCAGUUAAGUGUGCUUUGGCGAAAGUAGUACAAUGAUGGGUUACCUCCUGGGAAGUUCUCGUGUUGCAUCCAUUUUCUUUUUUUCAGAUGUGCCGUUCGACGUUACGCGCGACUUUAAUUAUGGUCCGCAGAUUUAUUCGCAAUUGUGAGUCACGGCGCCGUGGCAUUUUACUUGAUAUUUGAACGAGAACGAGAGGUGCAGUGCGCACGCACAAGGAAACAAAUGACGGGAGGGGGAAGAAAUGAGAAGGAGUUUAUGUAUUUGCAGCGCAAAAUUAAACAGGUGCGAUCAUACCAGCACUAAUGCUCCGGAUCCCAUUAGAACUCCGCAAUUAAGUGUGCUUGGGCGAGAGUAGUACUCGGAUGGGUGACAUCCUGGGAAGUCCUCGUGUCGCACUAAUUUUUUUUUUCAGACGGGUCGUUCGACGUUACGCGCAACUGGAACUAGGGUCCAUUGGUUUAUACGCAAAGGUGAGUCAAGAAGCAGGGGCAUUUUAAUCGAUAUUAGAACGAGAAGGAGAGAUGCAGAGUGCACGCACAAGGAAACAAAUGACGGGAGGGGGGAUGGAGGGAGAAAAAGUGUAUGUAUUUGCAGCGCAGAAUGAAAGAUGAGCAAUCAUACCAGAACCAAUGCAACGGAUUCUAUCAGAACUCCGCAAGUUAAGGGUCCUUGGGCAAGACUAGCACUAGGAUGGGUGACCUCCUGCGAAGUCCUUAUAUUUCACCCAUUUUCAUAGGAAGUCCUCGUAUUGCACCCAUUUUUUUGCAGAUGAUUCUUUCGACGAUACGCGCGACUUGAAUUAUGGUCCUCAGGUUUAUUCGCAAAAGUGAGUCACGGCACCGUAGCAUUUUACCUGAUAUUAGAACUAGCACGGGAGGUGCAGUGCGCACGCACAAGGAAACAAAUGAUGGGAGGGGGAAGAAAGGAGAAGGAGUUUAUGUAUUUACAGUGCGGAAUUAAACGGGUGCGAUCAUACCAGCACUAAUCCACCGGAUCCCAUCAGAACUCCGCAGUUAUGUGUGCUUGGGCGAGAGUAGUACUCGGAUGGGUGACCUCCUGGGAAGUUCUCGUGUCGCACCAAUUUUUUUUCAGACGGGUCAUUCGACGUUACGCACGACUGGAACUAGGGUCCGCUGGUUUAUACGCAAAUGUGAGUCAAGAAGAAGGGGCAUUUUAAUCGAUAUUAGAACGAGAAGGAGAGGUGCAGUGUGAACGCACAAGGAAACAAUUGAUGGGAGGGAAGGAGAAGGAGUGUAUGUAUUUUCAGCACCAAAUGAAACAGGUGCGAUCAUACCAGCACCAAUGCAACGGAUUCUCUCAGAACUCCGUAAGUAAGGGUGCUUGGGUGAGAGUAGUACUAGCAUGGGUUACCUCCUGCGAAGUCCUUAUAUUUCACCCAUUUUCUUGUGAAGUCCUCGUGUUGCACCCAUUUUUUUGCAGAUGAUUCUUUCGACGAUACGCGCGACUUGAAUUAUGGUCCUCAGGUUUAUUCGCAAAUGUGAGUCACGACACCGUAGCAUUUUACUUGAUAUUAGAAGGAGCACGGGAGGUGCAGUUCGCGCGCACAAGGAAACAAAUGACGGGAGGGGGAAGAAAGGAGAAGGAGUUUAUGUAUUUGCAGCGCGAAAUUAAACAGGUGCGAUCAUACCAGCACUAAUGCACCGGAUCCCAUCAGAACUCCGCAGUUAAGUGUGCUUUGGCGAAAGUAGUACAAUGAUGGGUUACCUCCUGGGAAGUUCUCGUGUUGCACCCAUUUUCUUUUUUUCAUAUGUGUCGUUCGACGUUACGCGCGUCUUUAAUUAUGGUCCUCAGGUUUAUUCGCAAAUGUGAGUCACGACACCGUAGCAUUUUACUUGAUAUUAGAACGAGCACGGGAGGUGCAGUUCGCACGCACAAGGAAACAAAUGAAGGGAGGGGGAAGAAAGGAGAAGGAGUUUAUGUAUUUGCAGCGCGAAAUUAAACAGGUGCGAUCAUACCAGCACUAAUGCACCGGAUCCCAUCAGAACUCCACAGUUAAGAGUUCUUGGGCGAGAGUAGUACUCGGAUGGGUGUCCUCCUGGGAAGUCCUCGUGUCGCACUAAUUUUUUUUUCAGACGGUUCGUUCAACGUUACGCGCGACUGGAACUAGGGUCCACUUGUUUAUACGCAAAUGUGAGUCAAGAAGCAGGGGCAUUUUAUUCGAUAUUAGAACGAGAAGGAGAGAUGCAGAGUGCACGCACAAGGAAACAAAUAACGGGAGGGGGGAUGGAGGGAGAAAAAGUGUAUGUAUUUGCAGCGCAGAAUGAAACAUGAGCAAUCAUACCAGCACCAAUGCAACGGAUUCUAUCAGAACUCCGCAAGUUGAGGGUGCUUGGGCGAGAGUAGCAUUAGAAUGGGUGAGCUCAUGCGAAGUCCUUAUAUUUCACCCAUUUUCUUAGGAAGUCCUCGUGUUCCACCCAUUUUUUUGCAGAUGAUUCUUUCGACGAUACGCGCGACCUGAAUUAUGGUCCUCAGGUUUAUUCACAAAUGUGAGUCACGGCACCGUAGCAUUUUACUUGAUAUUAGAACGAGCACGGGAGGUGCAGUGCGCACGCACAAGGAAACAAAUGAUAGGAGGGGGAAGAAAGGAGAAGGAGUUUAUGUAUUUGCAGCGCGGAAUUAAACGGGUGCGAUCAUACCAGCACUAAUGCACCGGAUCCCGUCAGAACUCCGCAGUUAAGUGUGCUUUGGCGAGAGUAGUACUCGGAUUGGUGACCUCCUGGGAAGUCCUCGUGUCGCACCAAUUUUUUUUCAGACGGGUCGUUCGACGUUACGCGCGACAGGAAUUAGGGUCCGCUUGUUUAUACGCAAAUGUGAGUCAAGAAGCAGGGGCAUUUUAAUCGAUAUUAGAACGAGAAGGAGAGGUGCAGUGUGAACGCACAAGGAAACAAUUGAUGGGAGGGGGAAGGAAGGAGAAGGAGUGUAUGUAUUUUCAGCAAGAAAUGAAACAGGUGCGAUCAUACCAGCACUAAUGCAACGGAUUCUAUCAGAGCUCCGUAGGUAAGGGUGCUUGGGGGAGAGUAGUACUAGCAUGGGUUACCUCCUGCGAAGUCCUUAUAUUUCACCCAUUUUCUUGUGAAGUCCUCGUGUUGCACCCAUUUUUUUGCAGAUGAUUCUUUCGACGUUACGCGCGACUUGAAUUAUGGUCCUCAGGUUUAUUCGCAAAUGUGAGUCACGGCACCGUAGUAUUUUACUUGAUUUUAGAACGAGCACGGGAGGUGCAG